Molecule: ribosomal RNA, 484 nt
Filed under: uncultured bacterium
Lineage: Bacteria
Description: partial 16S ribosomal RNA
Rfam family: Bacterial small subunit ribosomal RNA
Source: RNAcentral
AUUGAACGCUGGCGGCAGGCCUAACACAUGCAAGUCGAGCGGAUGAAGGGAGCUUGCUCCUGGAUUCAGCGGCGGACGGGUGAGUAAUGCCUAGGAAUCUGCCUGGUAGUGGGGGAUAACGUCCGGAAACGGGCGCUAAUACCGCAUACGUCCUGAGGGAGAAAGUGGGGGAUCUUCGGACCUCACGCUAUCAGAUGAGCCUAGGUCGGAUUAGCUAGUUGGUGGGGUAAAGGCCUACCAAGGCGACGAUCCGUAACUGGUCUGAGAGGAUGAUCAGUCACACUGGAACUGAGACACGGUCCAGACUCCUACGGGAGGCAGCAGUGGGGAAUAUUGGACAAUGGGCGAAAGCCUGAUCCAGCCAUCCCGCGUGUGUGAAGAAGGUCUUCGGAUUGUAAAGCACUUUAAGUUGGGAGGAAGGGCGGUAAGUUAAUACCUUGCUGUUUUGACGUUACCAACAGAAUAAGCACCGGCUAACUUCGUG